AAUGAUUUCCCUAGUAACGGCGAGUGAAGAGGAAAGAGCUCAAAGUUGGAAACUGUUUGGCUUAGCUAAACCGUAUUGUAAACUGUAGAAACAUUUUCCUGGCACACCAGAUUAAUAAGUCCUUUGGAACAAGGCAUCAUGGAGGGUGAGAAUCCCGUCUUUGAUCUGAGUAGUUGUCUUUUGUGAUAUGUUUUCAAAGAGUCAGGUUGUUUGGGAAUGCAGCCUAAAUUGGGUGGUAAAUCUCACCUAAAGCUAAAUAUUUGCGAGAGACCGAUAGCGAACAAGUACCGUGAGGGAAAGAUGAAAAGAACUUUGAAAAGAGAGUUAAACAGUAUGUGAAAUUGUUAAAAGGGAACCGUUUGGAGCCAGACUGGUUUGCUUGUAAUCAACCUAGAAUUCGUUUUGGGUGCACUUGCAGGCUAUACCUGCCAACAACAGUUUGAUUUGGAGGAAAAAAUUAAUAGGAAUGUAGCCUCUCGAGGUGUUAUAGCCUAUUAUCAUACUCUGGAUUGGACUGAGGAACGCAGCGAAUGCCUUUAGGCAAGAUUGCUGGGUGCUUUCGCUAAUAAAUGUUAGAAUUUCUGCUUCGGGUGGUGCUAAUGUUUAAAGGAGGAACACAUCUAGUAUAUUUUUUAUUCGCUUAGG
Molecule: ribosomal RNA, 645 nt
Filed under: Mucor lusitanicus
Lineage: Eukaryota; Fungi; Mucoromycota; Mucoromycetes; Mucorales; Mucoraceae
Description: eukaryotic LSU rRNA
Rfam family: Eukaryotic large subunit ribosomal RNA
Source: RNAcentral